Molecule: ribosomal RNA, 477 nt
Filed under: uncultured bacterium
Lineage: Bacteria
Description: partial 16S ribosomal RNA
Rfam family: Bacterial small subunit ribosomal RNA
Source: RNAcentral
AUGCACGCUGGCGGCGUGCCUCACACAUGCAAGUCGAACGGAGUCCAGCCUUUAAGACCUUCGGGUCAAAGAGGGGAAGACUGAGUGGCGGACGGGUGAGUAACACGUGGGCAACCUGGCUCAUAGAGGGGGAUAACAGAGAGAAAUUUCUGCUAAUACCGCAUAAGCACACACUGCCGCAUGGCAGAGGGUGAAAAGAGAAUCGCUAUGAGAUGGACCCGCGUCUGAUUAGCCAGUUGGCAGGGUAAGAGCCUACCAAAGCGACGAUCAGUAGCCGAUCUGAGAGGAUGAACGGCCACAUUGGGACUGAGACACGGCCCAAACUCCUACGGGAGGCAGCAGUGGGGGAUAUUGCACAAUGGGGGGAACCCUGAUGCAGCGACGCCGCGUGAGUGAAGAAGUAUUUCGGUAUGUAAAGCUCUAUCAGCAGGGAAGAUAAUGACAGUACCUGAAUAAGAAGCCCCGGCUAACUACGUG